AUUGAACGCUGGCGGCAUGCCUUACACAUGCAAAUCGAACGGUAACGGGCCUUCGGGUGCCGACGAGUGGCGAACGGGUGAGUAAUACAUCGGAACGUGCCCGAUCGUGGGGGAUAACGAGGCGAAAGCUUUGCUAAUACCGCAUACGAUCUACGGAUGAAAGCAGGGGACCGCAAGGCCUUGUGCGGACGGAGCGGCCGAUGGGAGAUUAGGUAGUUGGUGGGAUAAAAGCGUACCAAGCCGACGAUCUGUAGCUGGUCUGAGAGGAUGAUCAGCCACACUGGGACUGAGACACGGCCCAGACUCCUACGGGAGGCAGCAGUGGGGAAUUUUGGACAAUGGGCGCAAGCCUGAUCCAGCCAUGCCGCGUGCAGGAUGAAGGCCUUCGGGUUGUAAACUGAUUUUGUACGGAACGAAAAGCCUUCUUUUAAUACAGGAGGGUCAUGACGGUACCGUAAGAAUAAGCACCGGCUAACUACGUG
Molecule: ribosomal RNA, 482 nt
Filed under: uncultured bacterium
Lineage: Bacteria
Description: partial 16S ribosomal RNA
Rfam family: Bacterial small subunit ribosomal RNA
Source: RNAcentral